Molecule: long non-coding RNA, 1405 nt
Organism: Canis lupus familiaris (dog)
Lineage: Eukaryota; Metazoa; Chordata; Mammalia; Carnivora; Canidae
Exons: 3
Source: RefSeq, a predicted model, not a curated record
GGCCGAGGAGCCGCCGCCCGGGCCGCCCGCCCCCGGCGCAGAACCCCGGUGGGCUCCGCUGGCUCCGCGCGGGGGGUGAGGCUGGAGACGCGGGUCGGGACGGAGACCCCCGGCCCAGAACACGCGCGCGGUAACUAAGGAAGAAGGCUCGCCCCAGGUGGAGUCUGUGGUCUCCGCGACCGAACCGUGCAGAUGCGGGAAGAAGGGGCCGAAAAUGCAGGCGCUGCGGUCAGCAGAGAGCCCCUCCCGCUUGCUGCUGAACGGCAGGAGAGGCAGGAAGGACACCAGACGAAGCAGCAACAGCGGUACCCGAAGGAUGGAGAAAAGAAAGAAGAGGCGCAGGCGGGUCAGAAUUCAGUCUGAGGCCUGCGUCUCCGUGGCCUCUUGCCCAGCCCGGGGACCCGCGCUCCUUUCGCUCUCCCUGCUCAGGAUCCGGCGGCGGCCUCGUCCGUCAGACAACCCGAGGGCCGCAGGAUGGAGCUGAGAAUCUUCUCUGGCGUUCCGAGCUACGAAGCCUCUCAUUUCAGGUCCUCCUGCUCUCCGGGGCAGUAGGUUACCGGGCGAUCGGGCCCGGGGGUCCUCUGGGCUCCGUGCAAGGCCCAGCCCGCCGGCUUCCUCGCACUUGGAUCCCCAGGGGGGUGGGUGCCUUUCUGUGCGACCCCAGGUGUGUUCACAGUGGAACCCAGCCCCAAGGAUGGAGCUGAGGUCCCCAGACUGACUGAACCAUUUCUGGAGUUGAAUCUCCCAGGAUUCUGAUUGAAAGGGGGAUCUGGCCACUAUCAUAACCCACACAUUCUCUUAUACUGAGAGAAACACCACAAAAGGGUUCCCCACCCCUGUGGGCCUUGCCCACUGUUAGAGCUCAGCACCCAGCACAGUGGCAGAGAAGAAGGCAGCCAAGAAACAUUUGUGGGUCUGUGGUUGAAGUAGUCUUUAGUGGCAGGUGUAAACCCCAGCUUCUCCACCCCUGAGAGCUCCGGGACUGGAAUCCUCUUGCAUGGCCACAGUUCAAACUCCAAGAGAUGCACGCAGGCUGAUCUCCUGGUAAGAACCUUAGGCUGAGUGGUUAGCACCCCUAACCUGCUGACAGCACAGCCCAACAUGCACAAAUGCUUUCCUUUUACUGGCCUCAGCUUCCCUUGCUUAUAGGUAAACCCAUGUGAGCCUGACACUUUUAUACUCCCUGCAAAACGCUGUUUUGACAAUGAUCUUUGCAGUAGUCAGGACAAGAGGAAUCCCAUCUCAGAGAUAAAGGAUAUAUUGUUAGCACAGCCAGAUUGCAUUCCAUCCACUUAAAAAAAAAAAUCCUAUUUUUAAUUAAAGUAUGGGAUCCCUGUGUGGCGCAGCGGUUUAGCACCUGCCUUUGGCCCAGGGCGCGAUCCUGGAGACCUGGGAUCAAAUCCCA